AGAAGCUCCAAAGCAUCCAAAAACCAGGAACCAAAUGAAUUUCCCUGAAAAUUUUGAUUUUAUGCAGCCUUUUGCAUUCCACUCCUUCAAUUUCCAGGUAUUUCCGUUGUAAUGACCCUCUCCUCCAUCUAAGCUCUUAACUCCUCAGUACCCCCACAUCCACGUUGUAGACUGUAUUUUCUGAGUCUUUUGUCCCUCUCACCUUCUCUGCUUUUCUAUUUCCUUUCCUCCAAGAAAAG
RNAcentral lists this unclassified non-coding RNA (239 nucleotides) under Hevea brasiliensis (rubber tree). The record is from RNAcentral. Lineage: Eukaryota; Viridiplantae; Streptophyta; Magnoliopsida; Malpighiales; Euphorbiaceae.